AACGAACGCUGGCGGCGCGCCUAAUACAUGCAAGUCGAGCGAGAAGACGUAGCAAUACGUUUGUAAAGCGGCGAACGGGUGAGGAAUGCAUGGGUAACCUACCCUCGAGUGGGGAAUAACUAGCCGAAAGGUUAGCUAAUACCGCGUACGCUCCUUGGACUUCGGUUCAGGGAGGAAAGCGAUACCGUGGGUAUCGCGCUCUUGGAUGGGCUCAUGUCCUAUCAGCUUGUUGGUGAGGUAACGGCUCACCAAGGCUUCGACGGGUAGCUGGUCUGAGAGGACGACCAGCCACACUGGGACUGAGACACGGCCCAGACUCCUACGGGAGGCAGCAGUGGGGAAUAUUGGACAAUGGGCGAAAGCCUGAUCCAGCGAUGCCGCGUGUGUGAAG
RNAcentral lists this ribosomal RNA (391 nucleotides) under uncultured bacterium. RNAcentral's name for it is "bacterial SSU rRNA". It matches the Rfam family "Bacterial small subunit ribosomal RNA", at positions 29 to 410 of the family's 1533-position model. The record is from RNAcentral.